Molecule: ribosomal RNA, 460 nt
Filed under: uncultured bacterium
Lineage: Bacteria
Description: partial 16S ribosomal RNA
Rfam family: Bacterial small subunit ribosomal RNA
Source: RNAcentral
CCUACGGGGUGCAGCAGUGAGGAAUAUUGGUCAAUGGACGAGAGUCUGAACCAGCCAAGUAGCGUGAAGGAUGACUGCCCUAUGGGUUGUAAACUUCUUUUAUAUGGGAAUAAAACGUUCCACGUGUGGGAUUUUGUAUGUACCAUAUGAAUAAGGAUCGGCUAACUCCGUGCCAGCAGCCGCGGUAAUACGGAGGAUCCGAGCGUUAUCCGGAUUUAUUGGGUUUAAAGGGAGCGUAGGUGGAUUGUUAAGUCAGUUGUGAAAGUUUGCGGCUCAACCGUAAAAUUGCAGUUGAAACUGGCAGUCUUGAGUACAGUAGAGGUGGGCGGAAUGCGUGGUGUAGUGGUGAAAUGCUUAGAUAUCACGAAGAACUCCGAUUGCGAAGGCAGUUCACUGGACUGCAACUGACACUGAGGCUCGAAAGUGUGGGUAUCAAACAGGAUUAGAUACCCUUGUAGUC